GAUGAAGAACGCAGCGAAAUGAGAUACGUAAUGUGAAUUGCAGAUUUCAGUGAAUCAUCGAAUCUUUGAACGCACAUUGCGCCCGCUAGUAUUCUGGCGGGCAUGCCUGUUCGAGCGUCAUUUCAACCAUCAAGCCCCCGGCUUGCGUUGGAGCCCUGCGGCUGCCGCAGGCUCCCAAAUCUAGUGGCGGGCUCGUCGUCGUACCGAGUGCAGUAAACAUCCUCGCUCAGGGAACGCGUCGGGUUCUUGCCGUGAAACCCCCCCAUAUCAAGGUUGACCUCGGAUCAGGUAGGAAUACCCGCUGAACUUAAGCAUAUCAAUAAGCGGAGGA
Molecule: unclassified non-coding RNA, 331 nt
Filed under: soil metagenome
Description: partial contains 5.8S ribosomal RNA, internal transcribed spacer 2, and large subunit ribosomal RNA
Rfam family: 5.8S ribosomal RNA (bases 1-120)
Source: RNAcentral